AUGCCUCUCGCAAAGGAUCUCCUUCAUCCCUCUCCAGAAGAGGAGAAGAGGAAACACAAGAAGAAAGGCCUGGUGCAGAGCCCCAAUUCCUACUUCAUGGAUGUGAAAUGCCCAGGAUGCUAUAAAAUCACCACGGUCUUUAGCCAUGCACAAACGGUAGUUUUGUGUGUUGGCUGCUCCACUGUCCUCUGCCAGCCUACAGGAGGAAAAGCAAGGCUUACAGAAGGAUGUUCCUUCAGGAGGAAGCAGCACUAA
RNAcentral lists this long non-coding RNA (255 nucleotides) under Homo sapiens (human). RNAcentral's name for it is "non-protein coding lnc-ZNF621-5:1". Lineage: Eukaryota; Metazoa; Chordata; Mammalia; Primates; Hominidae. The record is from RNAcentral.